AAAACCCUUAACUUGUCAAGCUGGUUGAAUUGUUUUCCGACGGGCUACUUUGUCCGCUAAUAACGCCACGGAUUAUCCGCUGAACCGUUUCCCGUGUGCCAUUUACCACGUCCUGUAAUUACGCUUCGCUCUUUAAGCCCUGACGUCAUUGCCCGCCGCUGAUACUUUCACUGCUCCGCGGCGGGACGCGCCUGUGUGCUGCGCUCAGGAAUUCCACCGGCCAUUUUCGAACGCCGAGGGUCUCGUGAGGGCAAACGGAAGCAGAAACGUUUGAACGUGUCCCUCUGUGGCGGCAGAGUGUAUCUGCUCUCCACCUAAUCCUGGACACAAAGCCCGGCUUAGCAGCACCUUUGUGUUCGUCAGGUAGGCAGGCUCGAGGAACAGGCCUCUGCACGCACGCGGCAGCAACCCUGCCGACACCGAGAACAUCUGCGGAGCCCGGUGGAAUGACGCGAGCACGCCGCGCACACAAACAUCUUGCAGAUGUGCCAAUCUUUAAAAGCACCCGGGGAUGUUCUUUCUGGAAGUUAUGAGGUAUUCAGAGCAGCUCCCACAGAGACAAAAAACAUGCAGAGGAAGUUGCAGCAGCAGCUGCAGAUUCACAGGAUCAACGUCCUAACUUAUCUAAAUUUUUGAUGGCAGAUUUGGUUAAUCUACAAACACUGAAGAAGAAACAAAGACGUCAGAACAUGAAAAAUAUAUGUGAAUAAAACAUUAAAAAAUACUUUCACUGAAGUUCGCUGCAGUCCAAAACCGCUUCCGUCCUCAUGAAUCUCUAUUUCAGACGGCAGGUUUGCUUUCUUCUUCUUCACAACACGAGACUGGAACCAAACUGCGACUUCACAG
This is a long non-coding RNA of Gasterosteus aculeatus aculeatus (three-spined stickleback), 846 nucleotides long. Lineage: Eukaryota; Metazoa; Chordata; Actinopteri; Perciformes; Gasterosteidae. The record is from Ensembl.